AAUAUUGCACAAUGGGGGAAACCCUGAUGCAGCCAUGCCGCGUGUGUGAAGAAGGCCUUCGGGUUGUAAAGCACUUUCAGUAGGGAGGAAGGUAGUGUAGUUAACACCUGCAUUAUUUGACGUUACCUACAGAAGAAGCACCGGCUAACUCCGUGCCAGCAGCCGCGGUAAUACGGAGGGUGCGAGCGUUAAUCGGAAUUACUGGGGCGUAAAGCGCAUGCAGGCGGCCUGUUAAGUCAGAUGUGAAAGCCCCGGGGCUUAACCUCGGAAUUGCAUUUGAAACUGGCAGGCUAGAGUCUUGUAGAGGGGGUAGAAUUUCAGGUGUAGCGGUGAAAUGCGUAGAGAUCUGAAGGAAUACCAGUGGCGAAGGCGGCCCCCUGGACAGAUACUGACACUCAGAUGCGAAAGCGUGGGGAGCAAACAGGAUUAGAUACCCUGGUAG
This 442-nucleotide ribosomal RNA is filed under the name uncultured bacterium. RNAcentral's name for it is "bacterial SSU rRNA". It matches the Rfam family "Bacterial small subunit ribosomal RNA", at positions 360 to 793 of the family's 1533-position model. The record is from RNAcentral.